GGUAAUAAAGAGGGAGACACAGGCGCUCAGAGUAUUCUGCUGGAAGGACAAAAGGCAGCGAAGAGAAUGUGGAUCAUUAGAAUUGUGCAGAUUGGUCUGAGAGAAAAGCUGCAGACUUUUUCUGGGAAAAUGGUCAACACUGUGAUCAGUGAUGAAGAAAAGGGAAUCCAAGACAAGGAGGGCAAGGAGGAGUCCAUUCUGGCCAUGCUUGGAAUCAUUGGGACCAUACUAAACCUCGUUGUCAUCAUCUUUGUCUACAUUUACACCACACUGUAGUCAACCCCUCCGCUGCUCCCGGAAGGCAAAGAAUCACCCUGACUUCCCGCCAUGCCUAAUGGUUCAGACUCCAGACUGGCUGUCCAGGCCGUUGACUCGCCCGACUGCCACAUAGAUCUCAGACAAUGUUAUUACGGCAAGACUAACUUACGGUUACAUCGAAAAAGGCCCCAGAGAAUCACCAGGGCUUCCCGUUACUGGGUCACUACCACUGUCACAGAACAAGCCCUUACUCCACUGUAAAUAUGCAUGAACAUGCUUUACUGCUGUGAUGAUGGCCUCGUCACAAACAUGGAGGAGCCAAUGAAACUCUUUUCAGUGACUUUAAGUGAGCGAAAUGAGCUUUCUAGCAUUUUUUGAUGUACUGUUUGAAAUGGCACUGAUGCUGUAGGUUAAACCCAUUUAUGAAAUCCACAAAUGGCAACUCUGUGCAGUAUGUUGCUCACCUUGUCAAGGACAUAUUGAGUAUAGUUGUAAAUGCUUUAUUUUACGCAAUACAUUUUGCAUCUUGCGUAUGACACUCCAUAAAUAUGGGAUUUUGUCAAUCACGAAACAUGAGCAAAAGAGCAUGCCUGAUUUAAGUGAUGCAUCCACACUUUUUACAAAGAUGGAGAUUUUACCAUGAGGCAUUCCUUUCAGAAGUGUUGUCUAGGAGCUGAUUUUUUUUUGUCAUGGUCUCAGAAUCUGAAAGCAGCUGGCUGCAAAGGACCUCUACAGGAAUCAUGGAUUCAUUAUCUUC
This is a long non-coding RNA of Clupea harengus (Atlantic herring), 1015 nucleotides long. The record is from Ensembl. Lineage: Eukaryota; Metazoa; Chordata; Actinopteri; Clupeiformes; Clupeidae.